Molecule: ribosomal RNA, 468 nt
Filed under: uncultured bacterium
Lineage: Bacteria
Description: partial 16S ribosomal RNA
Rfam family: Bacterial small subunit ribosomal RNA
Source: RNAcentral
GACGAACGCUGGCGGCGUGCUUAACACAUGCAAGUCGAACGGAAAGGCCCUGCUUUUGUGGGGGGCUCGAGUGGCGAACGGGUGAGUAACACGUGAGUAACCUGCCCUUGACUUUCGGAUAACUUCAGGAAACUGGGGCUAAUACCGGAUAGGAGCUCCUGCUGCAUGGUGGGGGUUGGAAAGUUUCGGCGGUUGGGGAUGGACUCGCGGCUUAUCAGCUUGUUGGUGGGGUAGUGGCUUACCAAGGCUUUGACGGGUAGCCGGCCUGAGAGGGUGACCGGCAACAUUGGGACUGAGAUACGGCCCGGACUCCUACGGGAGGCAGCAGUGGGGAAUAUUGCACAAUGGGCGGAAGCCUGAUGCAGCAACGCCGCGUGCGGGAUGACGGCCUUCGGGUUGUAAACCGCUUUCGCCUGUGACGAAGCGUGAGUGACGGUAAUGGGUAAAGAAGCACCGGCUAACUACGUG